UAUAAUUAGCUUAAGGUUUUAGUAUUUCAAAUAUGCGUAUUCUGCUCUUUUUAUCGCAUACCCAAAGUACAUUGUCUUUACAUGCUACACACGAAGGACUUUCCAAAUCGUUUGUUUCAUCGACAACUUUCUCGGCGUGACAAGUAUCUGCACUAAUGGCGAAAAUGCAGUUAUUCAUUAAAUCUGCAACUGUUGCAACAUUUAAAAGUUCACAGAAGUAAAUGGUACUUGGUUUUGAUUUGUUUGAUAACUUAAAAGUUUGACAGACGUCAAACUUGAAUACCAGUUGUCCAUCUUGUGUGUCAAAAACGAUCACUUGACAGCUGCCUGGAUCUGC
Molecule: long non-coding RNA, 337 nt
Filed under: Mytilus galloprovincialis (Mediterranean mussel)
Lineage: Eukaryota; Metazoa; Mollusca; Bivalvia; Mytilida; Mytilidae
Source: RNAcentral